RNAcentral lists this unclassified non-coding RNA (337 nucleotides) under Melitaea cinxia (Glanville fritillary). Its description in RNAcentral is "misc RNA ENSMCXG00005006447.1". The record is from RNAcentral. Lineage: Eukaryota; Metazoa; Arthropoda; Insecta; Lepidoptera; Nymphalidae.
UCUCGAUUUAAACACAAUCGUCGUGUCUGGUACGACAGAGCUGGGCCGACGGAGCCGAGAGAACUCGGCGCUGUUCUCGCGACCGCAGCAAAGCUUCGGACACAUGUAUUUGUAGACGACGAGUCGAAUCGGAUGAAGUAAGACUUUUAUAGGAUAAAGUACCUGGGCGACCGAGCUUAGCUCUGUAUUUUUAGUAAAUCGUGUUUUUUGAAAAUCGUAUUUAAAUACGAAUUACAUAUUGAUAAAAUAUGAAUAAUAUUUUUUGAUUUUACCGACAUAAUAAUAAAAAAUAUGAAACAGGUUAUUUAAAUAAAAAAUCAUGAGUGCAAUUAGAAAA